ACGCUCGACACCUACUGGAGGCAGCAGUGAGGAAUAUUGGUCAAUGGGCGCUAGCCUGAACCAGCCAAGUAGCGUGAAGGAUGAAGGCUCUAUGGGUCGUAAACUUCUUUUAUAUAAGAAUAAAGUGCAGUAUGUAUACUGUUUUGUAUGUAUUAUAUGAAUAAGGAUCGGCUAACUCCGUGCCAGUAGCCGCCGGUAAGUACUGAGCGGGCGUGGCGAAGGACG
Molecule: ribosomal RNA, 225 nt
Filed under: uncultured bacterium
Lineage: Bacteria
Description: partial 16S ribosomal RNA
Rfam family: Bacterial small subunit ribosomal RNA
Source: RNAcentral